AUGACCCUUGGCUGCGCGUGCCCGUCGCCGGAGCGCGGACAUGUAGCCGCGCGCGUGCCACCUCACCCCCUCGCUGCCCCGGCUAUAUAAGCCCACCCCGAGGUGCCCCGACCUCACCAGCGGCCUCACCUCACUCCCAGACCCCUCCCUAGCUAGUCUCCCGAGCCCCGGAGCCCCUCCUCGCCGCAGUAGGCCGCCAUGGCCGCCGCACGGCCUCGGCUAAAUUCGGCCGACCCGAGCCCUUCCCCUCCUCCUGGCCGCCACCAGAGCCCUCCACCGCACCCCUAGAGCCUCCCCGCUGUUUCCCUCCUCCUCUGGUAGCCCCUGGCCGCGAUGCCCAACCCCCACCCGAAGCCAUCUCCGCCGGAGUCCAGGCCCUCGUCGCUCCGGUCCUCCUCGGUGUUCGUGUGACCCUGGAACGGAUGCGCGGCAGCCUCCUGAGUUCUUCGGUGGCCGUGGUGUCACAAAUGGUGGCCGGAGUUGGCCGGAAUCCUGCCGGCGCCGGCGACCCCUCCCUCUGUUCUGCGCCGCAUCGGGGGAAGAAGAACGAGGAGCGGGAGGAGACAGGUCAAGGCGCGGGCCCCACCUGUAAGCCGCACAGAGCCCGGCCCCGCCCUUGCCAGCGUGGCAACUGGAGGCGUCUUCGCCUGAAGUGCGCUUACGCGUGGGUAAAGCGUAAUCCUCGCAGCGCGUUUCCGUUUUCAGAAAGCGUCUUCACCCUCUCCUUCAGGGAAAUUUGCAGGUAAUGCCAGAUUUGAUUGCUUGUUUGUCGUGGAUCCCUUGUUUGCGAGCUAGGAUAAGCGUUGCAGCCAGAGUCCCUCCGGAGUGGAGUUCAUCACCGCCUUUGUUGUUCCACUGACAGUAGUCAUUCCGCUGCGCCGAGUUGUUCUGCUAUUUACAUAGAGCUACUGUGGCAGGCAUAGUGUCGCCAUGCCGAUGUAAUCCCCUUGUACCCGAUAUAGCUUGCAAUAAAGAGCUGUUUUGUUCUA
This is a long non-coding RNA of Triticum aestivum (bread wheat), 989 nucleotides long. RefSeq lists it as uncharacterized. The transcript is spliced from 2 exons. The record is from RefSeq and is a predicted model, not a curated record. NCBI's taxonomy places the organism in Eukaryota, Viridiplantae, Streptophyta, Magnoliopsida, Poales, Poaceae.